UCCCAGAACCCCCCUGUGUUGUAACGGUCAUUCGUCUGUGUAACGUCGGUCGGACAAGCGCGCGCCCUUUUCUCACCCUGUCGCAGCUUCCUAAGAACAAGUUUUAAAGAUGUUCGCCAAGGCUUUCCUCGUUGCUGUAGUGUUUGCUGUAUUCCUGGCCCAAUGCGCAGUUGAAGUAGGAGCGCAAACAACAGCCAUGAGCCCCACCGGCACCAUGAACAACACCAUGGCGACGCCCACAAAUGCACCAGCGGGCGGAGCAGCCAGCCUGGCAGCGGCGCUGAUGACUGUCGUGAUGCCGGCACUGAUGGCCCUCCUCCUGUCUAACUGAGGCGGAAAGUCAGCCUGACAUCAGCUGUCAAUCAAACAUGUCAUACAUACAUUUUGCAUGAGGGUCGUGCUGUGUUUCAAUCUGUAGUUUUCUCCUCAUCCUUGUCAAUUGCAUUGAUGAUGCUCUCCGCGGAAAAAUGCAAUUAACUCAAAGACUUCGUAUAUCAAUGAAGUUCAAUAAUUAUCUUAAGUAGUCAAUCGCAACUACCUGUAAUAGUACCGGAUGUGUGUCUGCUUAUUUGGAGUCGUUGUUCAUAGUAAUAAAUUGCCAAUGUUUACAUUGUCCUGACUACAGGCAAACGCUUCUGUGUCACGUAUAUACAUGUACAACAAUUAGCACCGGUUUACAUAGCUUUUGUAACUUCUCCAUGGUACUACUACUUGUGGUUCACUCUGUGUCACAGUUGUAACUGUUAUAGCAUUCCUGGAGUAAUAGGUGUUGGUCUUUCUGUCAUACUGUCAAUAAACCAUUCUGCGGUGCACAUA
Molecule: long non-coding RNA, 816 nt
Organism: Branchiostoma belcheri (Belcher's lancelet)
Lineage: Eukaryota; Metazoa; Chordata; Leptocardii; Amphioxiformes; Branchiostomatidae
Exons: 4
Source: RefSeq, a predicted model, not a curated record